Non-coding RNA from Octodon degus (degu), 372 nucleotides. NCBI's taxonomy places the organism in Eukaryota, Metazoa, Chordata, Mammalia, Rodentia, Octodontidae. The record is from the annotation of a RefSeq genome assembly.
AUGGCCUGGGUUCAGCUCCUCUUUACCAUCAUCACUCUUUUCACAGGGUCCCUCAUCCAACCUGUGCUGACUCAGCUGCCCUCUGCAUCUGCCUCGCUGGGACACACAGCCAAACUCACCUGUACCCUCAGCAGUGGUUACAGUAGUUAUGUGGUGGAAUGGUACCAUCAGAGCCCAGGGAAAGGUCUGCAGUUUGUGAUGCAAGUAGGUAGCAGUGGUAUUGUGGGAUGCAAGGGCAAUGGAAUCCCUGAUCGAUUCUCAGGAUCAGGCUCUGGCUUGGAUCAGUACCUGAUCAUCCAGAACAUCCAGGGAGAAGAUGAGAAUGUUUAUCAUUGUGGGACAUAUCAUGGCAGUUUGAGUGGCUAUGUGUAG